Molecule: ribosomal RNA, 469 nt
Filed under: Priestia megaterium
Lineage: Bacteria; Bacillati; Bacillota; Bacilli; Caryophanales; Bacillaceae
Description: bacterial SSU rRNA
Rfam family: Bacterial small subunit ribosomal RNA
Source: RNAcentral
AGCGACUGAUUAGAAGCUUGCUUCUAUGACGUUAGCGGCGGACGGGUGAGUAACACGUGGGCAACCUGCCUGUAAGACUGGGAUAACUUCGGGAAACCGAAGCUAAUACCGGAUAGGAUCUUCUCCUUCAUGGGAGAUGAUUGAAAGAUGGUUUCGGCUAUCACUUACAGAUGGGCCCGCGGUGCAUUAGCUAGUUGGUGAGGUAACGGCUCACCAAGGCAACGAUGCAUAGCCGACCUGAGAGGGUGAUCGGCCACACUGGGACUGAGACACGGCCCAGACUCCUACGGGAGGCAGCAGUAGGGAAUCUUCCGCAAUGGACGAAAGUCUGACGGAGCAACGCCGCGUGAGUGAUGAAGGCUUUCGGGUCGUAAAACUCUGUUGUUAGGGAAGAACAAGUACGAGAGUAACUGCUCGUACCUUGACGGUACCUAACCAGAAAGCCACGGCUAACUACGUGCCAGAGGCG